This 250-nucleotide ribosomal RNA is filed under the name uncultured bacterium. RNAcentral's name for it is "partial 16S ribosomal RNA". It matches the Rfam family "Bacterial small subunit ribosomal RNA", at positions 779 to 1028 of the family's 1533-position model. The record is from RNAcentral.
UAGAUACCCUGGUAGUCCACGCCGUAAACGAUGUCAACUAGCCGUUGGGUUCCUUGAGAACUUAGUGGCGCAGCUAACGCAUUAAGUUGACCGCCUGGGGAGUACGGCCGCAAGGUUAAAACUCAAAUGAAUUGACGGGGGCCCGCACAAGCGGUGGAGCAUGUGGUUUAAUUCGAAGCAACGCGAAGAACCUUACCUGGCCUUGACAUGCUGAGAACUUUCCAGAGAUGGAUUGGUGCCUUCGGGUAAC